This 379-nucleotide ribosomal RNA is filed under the name uncultured bacterium. Its description in RNAcentral is "bacterial SSU rRNA". It matches the Rfam family "Bacterial small subunit ribosomal RNA", at positions 29 to 401 of the family's 1533-position model. The record is from RNAcentral.
AGUGAACGCUGGCGGUAGGCCUAACACAUGCAAGUCGAACGGCAGCACAGUAAGAGCUUGCUCUUACGGGUGGCGAGUGGCGGACGGGUGAGGAAUGCAUCGGAAUCUACUCUGUCGUGGGGGAUAACGUAGGGAAACUUACGCUAAUACCGCAUACGACCUACGGGUGAAAGCAGGGGAUCUUCGGACCUUGCGCGAUUGAAUGAGCCGAUGCCCGAUUAGCUAGUUGGCGGGGUAAGAGCCCACCAAGGCGACGAUCGGUAGCUGGUCUGAGAGGAUGAUCAGCCACACUGGAACUGAGACACGGUCCAGACUCCUACGGGAGGCAGCAGUGGGGAAUAUUGGACAAUGGGCGCAAGCCUGAUCCAGCCAUACCGCG